This 441-nucleotide ribosomal RNA is filed under the name uncultured bacterium. RNAcentral's name for it is "bacterial SSU rRNA". It matches the Rfam family "Bacterial small subunit ribosomal RNA", at positions 958 to 1398 of the family's 1533-position model. The record is from RNAcentral.
AACGCGAAGAACCUUACCUGGGCUCGAAAUGGAGUGGACCGGAGCAGAAACGUUCCUUCCCCGCAAGGGGCCGCUUUAUAGGUGCUGCAUGGCUGUCGUCAGCUCGUGUCGUGAGAUGUUGGGUUAAGUCCCGCAACGAGCGCAACCCUUGUUACCAGUUGCCAUCAUUCAGUUGGGCACUCUGGUGAGACCGCCUCGGAUAACGGGGAGGAAGGCGGGGAUGACGUCAAGUCCUCAUGGCCUUUAUGUCCAGGGCUACACACGUGCUACAAUGGCCGGUACAAACCGUCGCAAACCCGCGAGGGGGAGCUAAUCGGAAAAAGCCGGCCUCAGUUCGGAUUGCAGUCUGCAACUCGACUGCAUGAAGCUGGAAUCGCUAGUAAUCGCGGAUCAGAACGCCGCGGUGAAUACGUUCCCGGGCCUUGUACACACCGAGACGAC